AUUGAACGCUGGCGGCAGGCUUAACACAUGCAAGUCGAACGAUGAAACUCUAGCUUGCUAGAUAUGAUUAGUGGCGGACGGGUGAGUAACAUUUAGGAAUCUGCCUAGUAGUGGGGGAUAGCUCGGGGAAACUCGAAUUAAUACCGCAUACGACCUACGGGUGAAAGGGGGCGCAAGCUCUUGCUAUUAGAUGAGCCUAAAUCAGAUUAGCUAGUUGGUGGGGUAAAGGCCCACCAAGGCGACGAUCUGUAACUGGUCUGAGAGGAUGAUCAGUCACACCGGAACUGAGACACGGUCCGGACUCCUACGGGAGGCAGCAGUGGGGAAUAUUGGACAAUGGGGGCAACCCUGAUCCAGCCAUGCCGCGUGUGUGAAGAAGGCCUUUUGGUUGUAAAGCACUUUAAGCAGGGAGGAGAGGCUAAUGGUUAAUACCCAUUAGAUUAGACGUUACCUGCAGAAUAAGCACCGGCUAACUCUGUGCCAGCAGCCGCGGUAAUACAGAGGGUGCGAGCGUUAAUCGGAAUUACUGGGCGUAAAGCGAGUGUAGGUGGCUCAUUAAGUCACAUGUGAAAUCCCCGGGCUUAACCUGGGAACUGCAUGUGAUACUGGUGGUGCUAGAAUAUGUGAGAGGGAAGUAGAAUUCCAGGUGUAGCGGUGAAAUGCGUAGAGAUCUGGAGGAAUACCGAUGGCGAAGGCAGCUUCCUGGCAUAAUAUUGACACUGAGAUUCGAAAGCGUGGGUAGCAAACAGGAUUAGAUACCCUGGUAGUCCACGCCGUAAACGAUGUCUACUAGCCGUUGGGGUCCUUGAGACUUUAGUGGCGCAGUUAACGCGAUAAGUAGACCGCCUGGGGAGUACGGCCGCAAGGUUAAAACUCAAAUGAAUUGACGGGGGCCCGCACAAGCGGUGGAGCAUGUGGUUUAAUUCGAUGCAACGCGAAGAACCUUACCUGGUCUUGACAUAGUGAGAAUCCUGCAGAGAUGCGGGAGUGCCUUCGGGAAUUCACAUACAGGUGCUGCAUGGCUGUCGUCAGCUCGUGUCGUGAGAUGUUGGGUUAAGUCCCGCAACGAGCGCAACCCUUUUCCUUAUUUGCCAGCGGGUUAAGCCGGGAACUUUAAGGAUACUGCCAGUGACAAACUGGAGGAAGGCGGGGACGACGUCAAGUCAUCAUGGCCCUUACGACCAGGGCUACACACGUGCUACAAUGGUAGGUACAGAGGGUUGCUACACAGCGAUGUGAUGCUAAUCUCAAAAAGCCUAUCGUAGUCCGGAUUGGAGUCUGCAACUCGACUCCAUGAAGUCGGAAUCGCUAGUAAUCGCAGAUCAGAAUGCUGCGGUGAAUACGUUCCCGGGCCU
Molecule: ribosomal RNA, 1355 nt
Filed under: uncultured bacterium
Lineage: Bacteria
Description: bacterial SSU rRNA
Rfam family: Bacterial small subunit ribosomal RNA
Source: RNAcentral